GGUCGUUAGCUCAGUUGGGCAGAGCAGUUGACUUUUAAUCAAUUGGUCGCAGGUUCGAGCCGAGCAGAGCG
Molecule: transfer RNA, 71 nt
Filed under: Yersinia pestis subsp. microtus bv. Caucasica
Lineage: Bacteria; Pseudomonadati; Pseudomonadota; Gammaproteobacteria; Enterobacterales; Yersiniaceae
Description: tRNA-Lys
Rfam family: tRNA (bases 6-66)
About the family: Transfer RNA (tRNA) molecules are approximately 80 nucleotides in length. Their secondary structure includes four short double-helical elements and three loops (D, anti-codon, and T loops).
Source: RNAcentral